CCUCCCACCGGGUCCCUCCUUCAACAUUGGGAAUUAUAAUUUGACAUGAGAUUUGCAUGGGGACACAGAGCCAAACCAUAUCAAUCCACCCCUGGCCCCUCCCAAAUCUCAUGUCCCUUUUACAUUUCAAAACAUAAUAAAGCCUUUCCAAUAGCCCCCCAAAGUCUUAACUUGUUCCAGCAUUAACUCAAAAGUUGAUGUUCAAAGUCUCAUCAGAGACAAGGCAAGUCCUUUCUGCCUAUGAGCCUG
This 249-nucleotide long non-coding RNA is filed under the name Homo sapiens (human). RNAcentral describes it as "LHRI_LNC1715.1". The record is from RNAcentral. Lineage: Eukaryota; Metazoa; Chordata; Mammalia; Primates; Hominidae.